Molecule: long non-coding RNA, 7576 nt
Organism: Pecten maximus
Lineage: Eukaryota; Metazoa; Mollusca; Bivalvia; Pectinida; Pectinidae
Exons: 9
Source: RefSeq, a predicted model, not a curated record
ACACACAGGUAGGGGUACUACAUGUGUUAACACAGAGGUAAGGGUACUACAUGUGUUAACACAGAGGUAAGGGUACUACAUGUGUUAACACAGGUAAGGGUACUACAUGUAUUAACACACAGGUAGGGGUACUACAUGUGUUAACACAGGUAAGGGUACUACAUGUAUUAACACACAGGUAGGGGUACUACAUGUGUUAACACAGAGGUAGGGGUACUACAUGUGUUAACACAGAGGUAAGGGUACUACAUGUGUUAACACAGAGGUAGGGUACUACAUGUGUUAACACAGAGGUAAGGGUACUACAUGUGUUAACACACAGGUAGGGGUACUACAUGUGUUAACACACAGGUAGGGGUACUACAUGUGUUAACACAGAGGUAGGGGUACUACAUGUGUUAACACAGAGGUAGGGGUACUACAUGUGUUAACACAGAGGUAGGGGUACUACAUGUGUUAACGCACAGGUAGGGUACUACAUGUGUUAACACACAGGUAUGGUACUACAUGUGUCAACACCCAGGUAGGGGUACUACAUGUGUCAACACACAGGUAGGAGUACUACAUGUGUCAACACACAGGUAAGGGUACCAUUAGCACCCUUCCUUCACUGACACAUAAUCACAUAACUAGUCCAGUUCAAACUUAAAGAAACCCUGUACUGCAUUGGUUUGUGUGAUUUCCAUAUCUAUUUGACAAAAUGCAGAUUUUUUUCCAUAUCUAUUGACAAAAUGCAGAUUUUUGUAGGUAAACAGUUUUAUAUUCUCAUGUGUAUGAUGAUGACCUAUCUUGUUGAUCUAUAAUGCAGAGCUACGUUCCCUUGAAAAGAUUGUCCUAAUAGUGUAUCCAGUAUCAAGGGACAGUACUCUUGUUCACUCUGGUGAUUUGAUUGAUAACAGACUGGUGGGGAAUGUUUAUCAGAAGUUUUGUAAAUUCUAUGAUGUGUCUUUAUCAUCCCCAAGUCUGAUUCUUUUUGGUGGAAUGAUAAAAGAUCAAAGUAUGGACUUGUUUCUUAAGGUUUUAUAACAUUUUCAGUUUAUUAAUCUUAAUCUUAGUUUUUAUAAUUUUUCUUAACCUCUAAUUAUGUUGGUUUUGUAACAUUGAUUAUUGUCAGAUCAAUUUGUCAUUAUUUGAUAUAUCACUGUUAAUUCAUCCAGCUAUGUGAAUCUCCUUAUCCUCACUGCCUUUCAGCUUGUUCUUUCUUCCAUAAUAACACAACCUUUCAUUUUAGUAUUUAUGUAAAAUCAGAAAAAAAGUUUGAAUGAAUAAUUCGAUAAAAAUGGUUUUCAUAAUUCAAUACUGAUGGUUUUUAUUGCUAGAUUCUUAUUCAUUAAAAAAUUGAUUUUUAUUUGUGAAAAUCCUGAGAACACUACCUUUUAAUUGUUAGUUUACCCAGUAUUUUGAAAAUCAUUCAUUAACAUUGGUUCAUUAAGGAUUUGUAAUUAUAACUAUAGAAGGUGAUGAAAUGUUGUUGACAUAAACAAAGAAUUGUGAUUUGUUAUAAGAUUAUUUAUUGACUUUCAUUUUGAAAUAUUGUAAUAACAUAGUGCAUGUGUUAUGAUAUGUUCUUUUCUGUAUUUGCCAGAUGGAAUGCAUAUAAAGUCCCUGGUAAUUUGGGAGCAUGAUUUACAGCAAUUCAAAACCAAUCUUAUGAUGCAAUAAUAUGUUUUUUUCUCAAAUGGAUAUUCAUGUAGAAAUUGAAAGUGUAACAGUAUAAGAAAUGGAUUUUGUUCUUCAAAUUUUCAUAUUUCAAAUUAGUUUCCUUAACCUUUAUUGAAUUGACAUGAAAUGUUAUUUUAAGAAUAACCAAUUGGUGUUAAAAACAAUAUUCAAAUUAUGUAAAGAGCUAUGUAAAUAAAAUUUCUUGAAAUAGUUUUACUUUCAGACAGAUACACUUCACUUAUAAAUUGUUUGGGCAUUAAACUCAUAAUUUGACAAUGUAAAUAGUGAAUAGCCCGUCCUUCUGUAUAUAGGUGCGUGGAGUUGACCCUGUGGUCUGUCUGUAUAUAAGUCUGUAGAGUCGACCCUGUGGUCAUUCUGUAUAUACGUCUGUAGAGUUGACCCUGUGGUUGGUCUGUAUAUAGGCACGUGGAGUUGACCCUGUGGUUGUUCUGUAUAUAGGCACAUGGAGUUGACCCUGUGGUUGUUCUGUAUAUAGGCACAUGGAGUUGACCCUGUGGUUGUUCUGUAUAUACGUCUGUAGAGUUGACCCUGUCUUCAUUCUGUAUAUACAUCUGUAGAGUUGACCCUGUGGUCAUUCUGUAUAUACAUCUGUAGAGUUGACCCUGUGGUCAUUCUGUAUAUACGUCUGUAGAGUUGACCCUGUGGUCAUUCUGUAUAUACGUCUGUAGAGUUGACCCUGUGGUCAUUCUGUAUAUACGUCUGUAGAGUUGACCCUGUGGUCAUUCUGUGUAUACAUUGAAGAGUUGACCCUGUGGUCAUUCUGUAUAUACAUCUGUAGAGUUGACCCCAUGGUCUGUCUGUGUAUACGUCUGUAGAGUUGACCCUGUGGUCAUUCUGUAUAUACAUCUGUAGAGUUGACCCCAUGGUCUGUCUGUGUAUACAUCUGUAGAGUUGACCCUAUGAUUGCUCUGUAUAUACAUCUGUAGAGUCUCUAUAUAGGUCUGUAGAGUUGAAACUGGGGAUAUUCUGUAUAUACAUGUACAUCUGCAGAGUCGACCCUGUGGUCAUUUUGUACAUGUACAUCAACAGAGUCGACCCUGUGAUCUGUCUGUGUAUACAUCAAUAGAGUCGACCCUGUGAUCUGUCUGUAUACAUCAAUAGAGUUGAUCCUGUGGUCCUGUGUAUACCAUACCACACUACAGUUAUGUAUACGUUUGUAAAACUGACGAUGGGGUCCUUCUGUACAUACAUAUGUAGAUCCUGUAUAUCAAUCUUGUACUAUUUUUUCACUCAGCUGUUCAUCGCCUUGUUUACUUGACAUGAUAUUCUAAAGACUUGCUGAUUUAGUUAGUAUCAAUGUUAAUUUACAAAUUGUUUUCACGCUUUCAUUACAAAAUAAUUUUGCCUGGUACCAACUUUUGUUCAUUUUCAUUGGAUAACAUUUCUCAUUUCUGUCAGGAAAGUACAAUGUAUCUGUUACCGGUAGUAUAGCAUUAAAGUUUAAUACAUGGUACUUAUAUUAGAAUGAUGUUCGCAGUCAGUUGAAAAUUCGGUCAAUAUUUUUGUAUAAAGAAUUCAAAGACAAGUGAUAACACCAGGAAUUCCAUGUUCUGUACUAUAACAUUGACAGUCCAUGUUCUGUACUAUAACAUUGACAGUCCAUGUUCUGUACUAUAACAUUGACAGUCCAUGUUCUGUACUAUGACAUUGACAGUCCAUGUUCUGUACUAUAACAUUGACAGUCCAUGUCCUGUACUAUAACAUUGACAGUCCAUGUUCUGUACUAUAACAUUGACAGUCCAUGUUCUGUACUAUAACAUUGACAGUCCAUGUCCUGUACUAUGACAUUGACAGUCCAUGUUCUGUACUAUAACAUUGACAGUCCAUGUUCUGUACUAUAACAUUGACAGUCCAUGUUCUGUACUAUAACAUUGACAGUCCAUGUUCUGUACUAUAACAUUGACAGUCCAUGUUCUGUACUAUAACAUUGACAGUCCAUGUUCUGUACUAUGACAUUGACAGUCCAUGUUCUGUACUAUAACAUUGACAGUCCAUGUUCUGUACUAUGACAUUGACAGUCCAUGUUCUGUACUAUAACAUUGACAGUCCAUGUUCUGUACUAUGACAUUGACAGUCCAUGUUCUGUACUAUAACAUUGACAGUCCAUGUUCUGUACUAUGACAUUGACAGUCCAUGUUCUGUACUAUGACAUUGACAGUCCAUGUCCUGUACUAUGACAUUGACAGUCCAUGUCCUGUACUAUAACAUAAUGUUUUCUGAUUGACAGUCCAUGCUCUGUACUAUAACAUAAUGUUUUCUGAUUGACAGUCCAUGUUCUGUACUAUAACAUAAUGUUUUCUGAUUGACAGUCCAUGCUCUGUACUAUAACAUUGACAGUCCAUGUUCUGUGCUAUAUAACAUAUUGUUUUCUGUUUGACAGUCCAUGUUCUGUACUAUAACAUUGACAGUCCAUGUUCUGUACUAUAACAUUGACAGUCCAUGUUCUGUACUAUAACAUUGACAGUCCAUGUUCUGUGCUAUAACAUUGACAGUCCAUGUUCUGUACUAUAACAUUGACAGUCCAUGUUCUGUACUAUAACAUAUUGUUUUCUGAUUGACAGUCCAGAUGUUAUCACUGUCAAUGUUAUGUAUAUUACCUGUAACAAAAUACAAAAUAUACUCUAUGUGAUCCAGGCCUUAACAGCAGAGUAUUCUUAAACAAAAUAAAUUACCUCCCUUUGCUACUUCUGUUUCCAACAUUUCAGCAUUUUACGAUGUUGCUACAGAAAUAUAGACCAUAAAACUAGAAAUAACAGUAUGCAAACUCCAUUGUCAAUAAAAAUUAAAAUAAGCUGAUAUUGCAUGCACUGUUUUGAAGAUGCAGUAUUUAUUUUACAGAUAUACAACAGAUGUCAUGUGAAUUGUUUUGGAAAACUUAAAUGAUGAUACCCUUUUCAAAUAUUGUAUAUGAUUUCAUGUGAUAAGCUGUGUCAUUACUUGAAUCCAUGUGAUCUGAGUACAGUGAUAGAUUAUGGUACUCUGAUGUGGAUGGUGAUAGGUACAGGCGAGUAUAGUAGUAAUGACACACUAGAGACUGAUGUGGAUGGUGAUAGGUACAGACAAGUAGUAAUGACACAUUAGAGACUGAUGUGGAUGGUGAUAGGUACAGACAAGUAUAGUAGUAAUGACACACUAGAGACUGAUGUGGAUGGUGAUAGGUACAGACAAGUUUAGUAGUAAUGACACACUAGAGACUGAUGUGGAUGGUGAUAGGUACAGACAAGUAUAGUAGUAAUGACACAUGACGUGGAUGGUGAUAGGUACAGACAAGUAGUAAUGACACACUAGAGACUGAUGUGGAUGGUGAUAGGUACAGACAAGUAGUAAUGACACACUAGAGACUGAUGUGGAUGGUGAUAGGUACAGACAAGUAGUAAUGACACACUAGAGACUGAUGUGGAUGGUGAUAGGUACAGACAAGUAUAGUAGUAAUGACACACUAGAGACUGAUGUGGAUGGUGAUAGGUACAGACAAGUAUAGUAGUAAUGACACACUAGAGACUGAUGUGGAUGGUGAUAGAUACAGACAAGUAUAGUAGUAAUGACACACUAGAGACUGAUGUGGAUGGUGAUAGGUACAGACAAGUAUAGUAGUAAUGACACAUUAGAGACUGAUGUGGAUGGUGAUAGGUACAGACAAGUAGUAAUGACACACUAGAGACUGACGUGGAUGGUGAUAGGUACAGACAAGUAUAGUAGUAAUGACACACUAGAGACUGAUGUGGAUGGUGAUAGGUACAGACAAGUAUAGUAGUAAUGACACACUAGAGACUGAUGUGGAUGGUGAUAGGUACAGACAAGUAGUAAUGACACACUAGAGACUGAUGUGGAUGGUGAUAGGUACAGACAAGUAUAGUAGUAAUGACACACUAGAGACUGAUGUGGAUGGUGAUAGGUACAGACAGGUAUAGUAGUAAUGACACAUUAGAGACUGAUGUGGAUGGUGAUAGGUACAGACAAGUAGUAAUGACACACUAGAGACUGAUGUGGAUGGUGAUAGGUACAGACAAGUAUAGUAGUAAUGACACACUAGAGACUGAUGUGGAUGGUGAUAGGUACAGACAAGUAUAGUAGUAAUGACACACUAGAGACUGAUGUGGAUGGUGAUAGGUACAGACAAGUAGUAAUGACACACUAGAGACUGAUGUGGAUGGUGAUAGGUACAGACAAGUAUAGUAGUAAUGACACACUAGAGACUGAUGUGGAUGGUGAUAGGUACAGACAAGUAGUAAUGACACACUAGAGACUGAUGUGGAUGGUGAUAGGUACAGACAAGUAGUAAUGACACACUAGAGACUGACGUGGAUGGUGAUAGGUACAGACAAGUAUAGUAGUAAUGACACACUAGAGACUGAUGUGGAUGGUGAUAGGUACAGACAAGUAGUAAUGACACACUAGAGACUGAUGUGGAUGGUGAUAGGUACAGACAAGUAUAGUAGUAAUGACACACUAGAGACUGAUGUGGAUGGUGAUAGGUACAGACAAGUAGUAAUGACACACUAGAGACUGAUGUGGAUGGUGAUAGGUACAGACAAGUAUAGUAGUAAUGACACACUAGAGACUGACUGUGGAUGGUGAUAGGUACAGACAAGUUAGUAGUAAUGACACACUAGAGACUGAUGUGGAUGGUGAUAGGUACAGACAAGUAGUAAUGACACACUAGAGACUGAUGUGGAUGGUGAUAGGUACAGACAAGUAUAGUAGUAAUGACACUAGAGACUGAUGUGGAUGGUGAUAGGUACAGACAAGUAGUAAUGACACACUAGAGACUGAUGUGGAUGGUGAUAGGUACAGACAAGUAGUAAUGACACACUAGAGACUGACGUGGAUGGUGAUAGGUACAGACAAGUAUAGUAGUAAUGACACACUAGAGACUGAUGUGGAUGGUGAUAGGUACAGACAAGUAGUAAUGACACACUAGAGACUGAUGUGGAUGGUGAUAGGUACAGACAAGUAUAGUAGUAAUGACACACUAGAGACUGAUGUGGAUGGUGAUAGGUACAGACAAGUAGUAAUGACACACUAGAGACUGACGUGGAUGGUGAUAGGUACAGACAAGUAUAGUAGUAAUGACACACUAGAGACUGAUGUGGAUGGUGAUAGGUACAGACAAGUAGUAAUGACACACUAGAGACUGAUGUGGAUGGUGAUAGGUACAGACAAGUAUAGUAGUAAUGACACACUAGAGACUGACGUGGAUGGUGAUAGGUACAGACAAGUAGUAAUGACACACUAGAGACUGAUGUGGAUGGUGGUAGGUACAGACAAGUAGUAAUGACACACUAGAGACUGAUGUGGAUGGUGAUAGGUACAGACAAGUAUAGUAGUAAUGACACACUAGAGACUGAUGUGGAUGGUGAUAGGUACAGACAAGUAGUAAUGACACAUUAGAGACUGAUGUGGAUGGUGAUAGGUACAGACAGGUAUAGUAGUAAUGACACACUAGAGACUGAUGUGGAUGGUGAUAGGUACAGACAGGUAUAGUAGUAAUGACACUAGAGACUGAUGUGGAUGGUGAUAGGUACAGACAAGUAUAGUAGUAAUGACACACUAGAGACUGAUGUGGAUGGUGAUAGGUACAGACAAGUAUAGUAGUAAUGACACAUUAGAGACCACAGAUUAAACACUUUCUCCCUGACUAUUUAAAGAGAAAAUGUACUUGUCAUUGAUUGUGGUAGCAAACUUUUGCAUUGUGUAUAUUAAAACAAUAUGAACAGUCUUACAAAGACAAUGUUUUUCUCUGCCAAUUAUUACUUCUCCCAGCUUGACAAAGAGACUCGUGUGGUUUUGAUAUUAUCCUGUAUUGAUAAGAAUCAAACUACAUCUACAUGUUGUGUCUUUAGUGAUAAAUUAUUCAAAGUGAUAUAAUAAAUCUAAGAUUGAAGAAUGCAUA